CUCCCCCUCUCUAAAAACAAAGAGAAAUGGUGCAACACCCAGGGCACCCUUCCCUUCUUCUUUUCUUCUUCUUCAUUCCUCCACACACACAGAAAACUACGCACAAGAGCUCCUUCUUCUUCUUCUUCUUUCAUUUCUGAAAAUCCCACGCAUAAGAAUCAAAAAAUCAAAAUCAGACCUAGAAGAAACCCAAAAAAGCGGCGGAUCUCAAGGAGCUAAAAAGAGCAUCAGCUAAAGAGAAUAAAGAUUUUCGCCGAUAACUAUGGAAAAGCAUCAGCUACUGACUCCCCUAAUCCCUCUCAAUAGACGGAUGCUAAGUUGGAAAGAAAGAGUUCAAAAGUUGAUUUUUAAUUUCUUUCAAUUGGUACAUGUUCUCUGAGACUGCGAAAGCUGGUCCGAGUUGAAGAGUUGCUGAUUUCGGCUAUUUUCAUGACGCUGUAGCUGUGCUUAUGAGCGUUAACCUUUGUUGGUCUUAUUCUGCUGCCUUUUGUUCCUGCUGUUAGGAGUGAUUCUGAGUUAUGUAGAUGUUGUGGAGAUAAUUCGAGCUAUUUAGAGCUUUGAAGUCAGAGUAAAAGCUCAAGGGAUUAAGCCGGGAUCGUGUUCGAGGGUCGAGGACCAAGUCUGGACAUCAAAAAUCAAAGUUUGAUCCGUACUCUAAGAAAAUGCCACUUCCGCGGAGCGUGGGGCGCCAUGGCUGCCCAAUUUUCGCUGCCUGUCAAUUGUUGAGCUCCUUGAAGAUGUCCACUAAUGCCCCGCAUGGUGCGUCACCCCAUGCGGUGCGGCUAUGCAAUUUUUACAAAGUAAAUGUCUUAUUUCUGUUAGGAAAAGAUGAUUUCGUUUGGGCCCGACCAAACUUGGUAUAAAUACAUGGAAAAAUGUAGUUUAUGGA
Molecule: long non-coding RNA, 889 nt
Organism: Nicotiana tabacum (common tobacco)
Lineage: Eukaryota; Viridiplantae; Streptophyta; Magnoliopsida; Solanales; Solanaceae
Source: RefSeq, a predicted model, not a curated record